UAGAUGUUAGUAAAAUAUUACAAAGCUUUGUCAUAGCUUAGUUGCUAGUAAAUCUAGCACACCUAU
This 66-nucleotide transfer RNA is filed under the name Chiropterotriton arboreus (arboreal splayfoot salamander). RNAcentral describes it as "tRNA-Asp". Lineage: Eukaryota; Metazoa; Chordata; Amphibia; Caudata; Plethodontidae. The record is from RNAcentral.